AGAGUUGAUUAUGGCUCAGAUUGAACGCUGGCGGCAUGCCUUACACAUGCAAGUCGAACGGCAGCACGGGAGCAAUCCUGGUGGCGAGUGGCGAACGGGUGAGUAAUGUAUCGGAACGUACCUUUCAGUGGGGGAUAACGUAGCGAAAGUUACGCUAAUACCGCAUAUUCUGUGAGCAGGAAAGCAGGGGAUCGCAAGACCUUGCGCUGAUUGAGCGGCCGAUAUCAGAUUAGCUAGUUGGUGAGGUAAAGGCUCACCAAGGCGACGAUCUGGAGCGGGUCUGAGAGGAUGAUCAGCCACAUUGGGACUGAGACACGGCCCAAACUCCUACGGGAGGCAGCAGUGGGGAAUAUUGGACAAUGGGCGCAAGCCUGAUCCAGCCAUGCCGCGUGAGUGAUGAAGGCCCUAGGGUUGUAAAGCUCUUUUGUGCGGGAAGAUAAUGACGGUACCGCAAGAAUAAGCCCCGGCUAACUUCGUGCCAGCAGCCGCGGUAAUACA
RNAcentral lists this ribosomal RNA (498 nucleotides) under uncultured Ferribacterium sp. Its description in RNAcentral is "bacterial SSU rRNA". It matches the Rfam family "Bacterial small subunit ribosomal RNA", at positions 8 to 527 of the family's 1533-position model. The record is from RNAcentral. Lineage: Bacteria; Pseudomonadati; Pseudomonadota; Betaproteobacteria; Rhodocyclales; Azonexaceae.